RNAcentral lists this ribosomal RNA (604 nucleotides) under Inocybe posterula. RNAcentral's name for it is "eukaryotic LSU rRNA". The stretch from base 254 to 407 matches the Rfam family "5.8S ribosomal RNA". The record is from RNAcentral. Lineage: Eukaryota; Fungi; Basidiomycota; Agaricomycetes; Agaricales; Inocybaceae.
AACGAAUAAACUUGAUCAGGCUGUUGCUGGCCCCCUUGCAGGGGUAUGUGCACGCUUGUCAUAUUUAUCAUUUCUCCAACUGUGCACAUAUUGUAGACCUGGAUCUUUUUUGAAGAAAUUCAAGUUGGGGGACUGCUGUGCUCUUUGUUUUUUUUUCAAGAGUCGGCUUUCCCUCGUAUUUUUCAGGUCUAUGUCAUUUUCACAACCUCUAGAAUGUGUUUAGAAUGUUGAAUCAUAUAUAAAGUUAAUAUACAACUUUCAGCAACGGAUCUCUUGGCUCUCGCAUCGAUGAAGAACGCAGCGAAAUGCGAUAAGUAAUGUGAAUUGCAGAAUUCAGUGAAUCAUCGAAUCUUUGAACGCAUCUUGCGCUCCUUGGUAUUCCGAGGAGCAUGCCUGUUUGAGUGUCAUUUGACUUCUCUCAACCACAUCGUCUUUUCAAUGUGGCUUGGAUGUGGGGGAAUUUCUUUGCAGGCUUUUUAUUUGUUUAAGAAGCCGGCUCCCCUGAAAUGCAUUAGUGGUGUCUGAGCUGCUAUUGGUGUGAUAAAUCUAUCUAUGCCUUUGGUGAUGCUGGUCAGCACUGCUUAUAACAAGACAAAAAUUCAUU